AUCCUUUUUGUGUUUUCUAGUGCAUCCUAUAUGAAAUUUAGUUUAUUUUAUAUGGAAGAACGACACAUUUUUAUUUGCGCAACCAAUCGCUAGAUGGCACGAUGUGUCGUUGUUUAAACUGCGAAAUCCGAUAUAUUGAAUAUUGGCAUGACUUCAGUUGUCACAGAAUCUUUGUCUUGAAGAUAGACACAAGUCGAAAAAUUCCAUCUAGCUUUGUUUAUAUUUAUAUAGAAAAACGGCUUAUUCCUAUUUGUGCCUUUAUUUAGAGGAAUUACGAGACCUAUAAGUAAUUAUUGUGUUAUAGAAGAUUGGACUAUUUUCAGUUAUGUCAAUACAAAUAAGGAAGCUGUCAAAGAUGUCUAUGUGGGUUCCCACUACUAGAAUAAUGACAAAUACUAAAAUCGAUGCCAAACCAAUAAUAGAAGGAACAAUUGAAGAAACAGAACAUGAUUCUGGAAAUUAUUCCAGCCCAAUAAACAAUGUAGAAGACGAAAUUACUGUAUUUGGUUAAGAAGGACCGGUUGCUGCCGUCGAGAUCGCAGGGCAUAAUAGAUUAUAUUAGUAUAAGUUUUAAAUUGUUCAUUGAGUACAAUCAAUAAUAAUGAUCAGUAUCAGUGAAAAAGCUAGCGGCCUUAUUAUUAUUUAGUGUGCCUUAUGAAACGUAUUUUAUUUUCAGAGUUGGUGCAAUCUAAUAAAGUUCAAGGCUCAAGGCUUAAAAUAUCAAAAUUGUUUCCCGUCAUACAAAUCAUCAUUGUCCAAUUCAUCUUCGUCCGACUCGAAUUCUUUAUCGAGCUCUUCCUCUUCGAUCUGAGAAGAGGAACUGUCUGCCUAGAUCAUGUAACUUGUCGUUUGAGAACGUCAACAACAACAAUGAUGUUUUGCGUGACGUGACGUAACACUUUGUGAUUGGUGUUCGCAGUCACGUGACUUAAUGUCUAUAUUUAUAGAAUUUAUUUUCUAAAAAUAUUACUUAUUAUUAAUUUCCAUAUUUUUGUAGAGACUGGAUUGUUUUGGAACUAAGAAAUUCGUUAUUAGAAACAUUUCAUUCACAAAUUACAAUAUUGAAUGAAUUUCAAUGAUACAAUUAACAAAAUUCAUUAUUUGAAUGAACUAAACUCAUUAACUGAUA
This is a long non-coding RNA of Diorhabda carinulata, 1129 nucleotides long. RefSeq lists it as uncharacterized. Lineage: Eukaryota; Metazoa; Arthropoda; Insecta; Coleoptera; Chrysomelidae. The record is from RefSeq and is a predicted model, not a curated record. The transcript has 3 exons.